RNAcentral lists this ribosomal RNA (3954 nucleotides) under Drosophila melanogaster (fruit fly). Its description in RNAcentral is "eukaryotic LSU rRNA". The stretch from base 576 to 3954 matches the Rfam family "Eukaryotic large subunit ribosomal RNA". The record is from RNAcentral. Lineage: Eukaryota; Metazoa; Arthropoda; Insecta; Diptera; Drosophilidae.
AAAACUCUAAGCGGUGGAUCACUCGGCUCAUGGGUCGAUGAAGAACGCAGCAAACUGUGCGUCAUCGUGUGAACUGCAGGACACAUGAACAUCGACAUUUUGAACGCAUAUCGCAGUCCAUGCUGUUAUGUACUUUAAUUAAUUUUAUAGUGCUGCUUGGACUACAUAUGGUUGAGGGUUGUAAGACUAUGCUAAUUAAGUUGCUUAUAAAUUUUUAUAAGCAUAUGGUAUAUUAUUGGAUAAAUAUAAUAAUUUUUAUUCAUAAUAUUAAAAAAUAAAUGAAAAACAUUAUCUCACAUUUGAAUGUGAAAAACGAAGAGAAAUAUUUUCUUUUUCAAUCAAAUAAUACUGAGAAAUGUCUAGCAUAAAAAAUUGAAAUAUUUUUCAUCUAGAAUUGUCUCUUAUUAAUGAUUCGGAAAUAGAAAAAUCUUGGUUAUGUUAUUAUUCUUCGUUGGUUCGUUAAAAAUGGAUAAAUAAAAACUUUGCAUACAAGAAUUAAUAAAAAUGUUAUAACGAAUUUAAUUAAAUGUUUUAUCAUUAUAUAUAAAGAAUUUAUGGCAAGAUAAAGUUAUAUACAACCUCAACUCAUAUGGGACUACCCCCUGAAUUUAAGCAUAUUAAUUAGGGGAGGAAAAGAAACUAACAAGGAUUUUCUUAGUAGCGGCGAGCGAAAAGAAAACAGUUCAGCACUAAGUCACUUUGUCUAUAUGGCAAAUGUGAGAUGCAGUGUAUGGAGCGUCAAUAUUCUAGUAUGAGAAAUUAACGAUUUAAGUCCUUCUUAAAUGAGGCCAUUUACCCAUAGAGGGUGCCAGGCCCGUAUAACGUUAAUGAUUACUAGAUGAUGUUUCCAAAGAGUCGUGUUGCUUGAUAGUGCAGCACUAAGUGGGUGGUAAACUCCAUCUAAAACUAAAUAUAACCAUGAGACCGAUAGUAAACAAGUACCGUGAGGGAAAGUUGAAAAGAACUCUGAAUAGAGAGUUAAACAGUACGUGAAACUGCUUAGAGGUUAAGCCCGAUGAACCUGAAUAUCCGUUAUGGAAAAUUCAUCAUUAAAAUUGUAAUAUUUAAAUAAUAUUAUGAGAAUAGUGUGCAUUUUUUCCAUAUAAGGACAUUGUAAUCUAUUAGCAUAUACCAAAUUUAUCAUAAAAUAUAACUUAUAGUUUAUUCCAAUUAAAUUGCUUGCAUUUUAACACAGAAUAAAUGUUAUUAAUUUGAUAAAGUGCUGAUAGAUUUAUAUGAUUACAGUGCGUUAAUUUUUCGGAAUUAUAUAAUGGCAUAAUUAUCAUUGAUUUUUGUGUUUAUUAUAUGCACUUGUAUGAUUAACAAUGCGAAAGAUUCAGGAUACCUUCGGGACCCGUCUUGAAACACGGACCAAGGAGUCUAACAUAUGUGCAAGUUAUUGGGAUAUAAACCUAAUAGCGUAAUUAACUUGACUAAUAAUGGGAUUAGUUUUUUAGCUAUUUAUAGCUAAUUAACACAAUCCCGGGGCGUUCUAUAUAGUUAUGUAUAAUGUAUAUUUAUAUUAUUUAUGCCUCUAACUGGAACGUACCUUGAGCAUAUAUGCUGUGACCCGAAAGAUGGUGAACUAUACUUGAUCAGGUUGAAGUCAGGGGAAACCCUGAUGGAAGACCGAAACAGUUCUGACGUGCAAAUCGAUUGUCAGAAUUGAGUAUAGGGGCGAAAGACCAAUCGAACCAUCUAGUAGCUGGUUCCUUCCGAAGUUUCCCUCAGGAUAGCUGGUGCAUUUUAAUAUUAUAUAAAAUAAUCUUAUCUGGUAAAGCGAAUGAUUAGAGGCCUUAGGGUCGAAACGAUCUUAACCUAUUCUCAAACUUUAAAUGGGUAAGAACCUUAACUUUCUUGAUAUGAAGUUCAAGGUUAUGAUAUAAUGUGCCCAGUGGGCCACUUUUGGUAAGCAGAACUGGCGCUGUGGGAUGAACCAAACGUAAUGUUACGGUGCCCAAAUUAACAACUCAUGCAGAUACCAUGAAAGGCGUUGGUUGCUUAAAACAGCAGGACGGUGAUCAUGGAAGUCGAAAUCCGCUAAGGAGUGUGUAACAACUCACCUGCCGAAGCAACUAGCCCUUAAAAUGGAUGGCGCUUAAGUUGUAUACCUAUACAUUACCGCUAAAGUAGAUGAUUUAUAUUACUUGUGAUAUAAAUUUUGAAACUUUAGUGAGUAGGAAGGUACAAUGGUAUGCGUAGAAGUGUUUGGCGUAAGCCUGCAUGGAGCUGCCAUUGGUACAGAUCUUGGUGGUAGUAGCAAAUAAUCGAAUGAGACCUUGGAGGACUGAAGUGGAGAAGGGUUUCGUGUGAACAGUGGUUGAUCACGAGUUAGUCGGUCCUAAGUUCAAGGCGAAAGCCGAAAAUUUUCAAGUAAAACAAAAAUGCCUAACUAUAUAAACAAAGCGAAUUAUAAUACACUUGAAUAAUUUUGAACGAAAGGGAAUACGGUUCCAAUUCCGUAACCUGUUGAGUAUCCGUUUGUUAUUAAAUAUGGGCCUCGUGCUCAUCCUGGCAACAGGAACGACCAUAAAGAAGCCGUCGAGAGAUAUCGGAAGAGUUUUCUUUUCUGUUUUAUAGCCGUACUACCAUGGAAGUCUUUCGCAGAGAGAUAUGGUAGAUGGGCUAGAAGAGCAUGACAUAUACUGUUGUGUCGAUAUUUUCUCCUCGGACCUUGAAAAUUUAUGGUGGGGACACGCAAACUUCUCAACAGGCCGUACCAAUAUCCGCAGCUGGUCUCCAAGGUGAAGAGUCUCUAGUCGAUAGAAUAAUGUAGGUAAGGGAAGUCGGCAAAUUAGAUCCGUAACUUCGGGAUAAGGAUUGGCUCUGAAGAUUGAGAUAGUCGGGCUUGAUUGGGAAACAAUAACAUGGUUUAUGUGCUCGUUCUGGGUAAAUAGAGUUUCUAGCAUUUAUGUUAGUUACUUGUUCCCCGGAUAGUUUAGUUACGUAGCCAAUUGUGGAACUUUCUUGCUAAAAUUUUUAAGAAUACUAUUUGGGUUAAACCAAUUAGUUCUUAUUAAUUAUAACGAUUAUCAAUUAACAAUCAAUUCAGAACUGGCACGGACUUGGGGAAUCCGACUGUCUAAUUAAAACAAAGCAUUGUGAUUAGGGAUCAUGGGGUAUUUGAGAGCAGAGGGGGAGUAUUCUUCUGUAAUUCGUAAGUCAUAUCAUAUGAUGUGCGGAAGGGGAAUUUUACUCUGUAACUCACAAGUCUCUCCUUUACUCAAGUCGACUCAAAACCUCCUCGUGGUGGUCCCCGGUAAUGCUAAACUCGUUUAGCAGCUAAUUUGAGCGGCAAAACUUUUCCGAUGGGCUGGUUCCCCAGAGGAAAUUUAUUCAUAUUGGAACUACAAGCACAAAUAACGAGCCUCGGAUACCUUUACACAAUCUGAUGACGACCCGACCCUCCGUGGAUAUCUUCCCGGAGGACCAAUAUGAACCAAACGCAGCGGCUACUCUAUCUAGGGUUCCCUGCACAGUAUGUGGCCGGUCCUUUAACAGCAAGAGAGGACUCGGUGUUCACAUGCGAUCUCGGCACCCAGACGAACUUGAUGAAGAACGUCGACGUGUCGAUAUAAAGGCAAGAUGGAGUGAUGAAGAGAAGUGGAUGAUGGCGAGAAAGGAGGUUGAGCUCACAGCAAAUGGAUGUAAACACAUAAACAAGCAACUAGCGGUGUAUUUUGCAAACCGCAGCGUCGAAGCCAUCAAAAAGCUAAGACAGAGGGGCGAUUAUAAGGAGAAAAUAGAGCAGAUAAGAGGGCAAUCAGCUCUCGCCCCGGAAGUUGCUAAUCUAACCAUAAGGCGCCGCCCUAGUAGAAGUGAGCAAGACCACCAAGUAACAACAUCGGAAACAACUCCAAUCACUCCCUUCGAACAGUCGAACAGGGAAAUUUUGCGGACACUACGCGGGUAUAGCCCCGUAGAAUGCCAUUCCAAAUGGAGAGCCCAAGAGUU